Molecule: ribosomal RNA, 1238 nt
Filed under: Salmonella enterica
Lineage: Bacteria; Pseudomonadati; Pseudomonadota; Gammaproteobacteria; Enterobacterales; Enterobacteriaceae
Description: partial 23S ribosomal RNA
Rfam family: Bacterial large subunit ribosomal RNA
Source: RNAcentral
GGGUUGUGAGGUUAAGCGACUAAGCGUACACGGUGGAUGCCCUGGCAGUCAGAGGCGAUGAAGGGCGUGCUAAUCUGCGAUAAGCGCCGGUAAGGUGAUAUGAACCGUUAUAACCGGCGAUACCCGAAUGGGGAAACCCAGUGUGAUUCGUCACACUAUCAUUAACUGAAUCCAUAGGUUAAUGAGGCGAACCGGGGGAACUGAAACAUCUAAGUACCCCGAGGAAAAGAAAUCAACCGAGAUUCCCCCAGUAGCGGCGAGCGAACGGGGAGGAGCCCAGAGCCUGAAUCAGCAUGUGUGUUAGUGGAAGCGUCUGGAAAGGCGCGCGAUACAGGGUGACAGCCCCGUACACAAAAGCGUAUGUGCUGUGAGCUCGAUGAGUAGGGCGGGACACGUGGUAUCCUGUCUGAAUAUGGGGGGACCAUCCUCCAAGGCUAAAUACUCCUGACUGACCGAUAGUGAACCAGUACCGUGAGGGAAAGGCGAAAAGAACCCCGGCGAGGGGAGUGAAAAAGAACCUGAAACCGUGUACGUACAAGCAGUGGGAGCACCCUUUGGGGUGUGACUGCGUACCUUUUGUAUAAUGGGUCAGCGACUUAUAUUCUGUAGCAAGGUUAACCGAAUAGGGGAGCCGGAGGGAAACCGAGUCUUAAUUGGGCGUUAAGUUGCAGGGUAUAGACCCGAAACCCGGUGAUCUAGCCAUGGGCAGGUUGAAGGUUGGGUAACACUAACUGGAGGACCGAACCGACUAAUGUUGAAAAAUUAGCGGAUGACCUGUGGCUGGGGGUGAAAGGCCAAUCAAACCGGGAGAUAGCUGGUUCUCCCCGAAAGCUAUUUAGGUAGCGCCUCGUGAAUUCAUCUCCGGGGGUAGAGCACUGUUUCGGCUAGGGGGUCAUCCCGACUUACCAACCCGAUGCAAACUGCGAAUACCGGAGAAUGUUAUCACGGGAGACACACGGCGGGUGCUAACGUCCGUCGUGAAGAGGGAAACAACCCAGACCGCCAGCUAAGGUCCCAAAGUCAUGGUUAAGUGGGAAACGAUGUGGGAAGGCCCAGACAGCCAGGAUGUUGGCUUAGAAGCAGCCAUCAUUUAAAGAAAGCGUAAUAGCUCACUGGUCGAGUCGGCCUGCGCGGAAGAUGUAACGGGGCUAAACCAUGCACCGAAGCUGCGGCAGCGACACUCAGGUGUUGUUGGGUAGGGGAGCGUUCUGUAAGCCUGUGAAGGUGGCCUGUGAGGG